RNAcentral lists this ribosomal RNA (468 nucleotides) under uncultured bacterium. RNAcentral describes it as "partial 16S ribosomal RNA". It matches the Rfam family "Bacterial small subunit ribosomal RNA", at positions 28 to 507 of the family's 1533-position model. The record is from RNAcentral.
GACGAACGCUGGCGGCGUGCUUAACACAUGCAAGUCGAACGGAAAGGCCCUGCUUUUGUGUGGUGCUCGAGUGGCGAAAGGGUGAGUAACACGUGAGUAACCUGCCCUUGACUUUGGGAUAACUUCAGGAAACUGGGGCUCAUACCGGAUAUGAGCUCCUGCUGCAUGGUGGGGGUUGGAAAGUUUCGGCGGUGGGGGAUGGACUGGCGGCUUAUCAGCUUGUUGGUGGGGUAGUGGGUUACCAAGGCUUUGACGGGUAGCCGGCAUGGGAGGGUGGACAGCCACCUGGGGACUGCGAUACGCACCAGUGUGGAACGGGAGGCAGCAGUGGCGAAUAUUACACAAUGAGGGGGCGCGUGAUGAGAAGGCGUCGCGUGCGUGAUGACCGCUUUCGGGUUGUGAACCGCUUUCGCCUGAGACGAAGCGUGAGUGACGGUAAUGUAUAAAGAAGCACCGGCUAACUACGUG